AGUGAACGCUGGCGGUAGGCCUAACACAUGCAAGUCGAACGGCAGCACAGUAAGAGCUUGCUCUUACGGGUGGCGAGUGGCGGACGGGUGAGGAAUACAUCGGAAUCUACUUUUUCGUGGGGGAUAACGUAGGGAAACUUACGCUAAUACCGCAUACGACCUACGGGUGAAAGCAAGGGAUCUUCGGACCUUGCGCGAUUGUUUUAGCAGACGACGGAUCAGCUAGUUUGCUGGGUAAAGGCCCACCAAGGCGACGAAACGUCGCAGGUCUGAGAAGAUGAUCAGCCAUAUUGGAAGUGAGACACGGUCCUGAGUCUGAGGGGAGGCAGGAGAUGGGAAUAUUACUCAAUGGGCGGAAGCCUGAUCGAGCUAUUCCACGUGCGUGACGAAGUCAUUCGGAUUAUAAAGCCCUUUUGUUGGGAAAGAAAAAGUGUGAGUUUAUAUAACGCUGUUCUGACGGUACCUAAAGAAAAAGCCCCGGCUAACUUCGCG
Molecule: ribosomal RNA, 492 nt
Filed under: uncultured bacterium
Lineage: Bacteria
Description: partial 16S ribosomal RNA
Rfam family: Bacterial small subunit ribosomal RNA
Source: RNAcentral